RNAcentral lists this small RNA (30 nucleotides) under Bombyx mori (domestic silkworm). RNAcentral's name for it is "ovarian small RNA-35327". The record is from RNAcentral. Lineage: Eukaryota; Metazoa; Arthropoda; Insecta; Lepidoptera; Bombycidae.
UGUAAGCUUCACCACAUACCAGACAAUAUC